GCACUGCUGAAGAGUUCCACAAUCGGACGAAAUGACCAUCCAGUGC
RNAcentral lists this non-coding RNA (46 nucleotides) under Schistosoma mattheei. The record is from RNAcentral. Lineage: Eukaryota; Metazoa; Platyhelminthes; Trematoda; Strigeidida; Schistosomatidae.